GAUGAACGCUGGCGGCGUGCCUAAUACAUGCAAGUCGAGCGAACAGACGAGGAGCUUGCUCCUCUGACGUUAGCGGCGGACGGGUGAGUAACACGUGGAUAACCUACCUAUAAGACUGGGAUAACUUCGGGAAACCGGAGCUAAUACCGGAUAAUAUAUUGAACCGCAUGGUUCAAUAGUGAAAGACGGUUUUGCUGUCACUUAUAGAUGGAUCCGCGCCGCAUUAGCUAGUUGGUAAGGUAACGGCUUACCAAGGCAACGAUGCGUAGCCGACCUGAGAGGGUGAUAGGCCACACUGGAACUGAGACACGGUCCAGACUCCUACGGGAGGCAGCAGUAGGGAAUCUUCCGCAAUGGGCGAAAGCCUGACGGAGCAACGCCGCGUGAGUGAUGAAGGUCUUCGGAUCGUAAAGCUCUGUUAUUAGGGAAGAACAAAUGUGUAAGUAACUAUGCACGUCUUGACGGUACCUAAUCAGAAAGCCACGGCUAACUACGUG
RNAcentral lists this ribosomal RNA (497 nucleotides) under uncultured bacterium. RNAcentral's name for it is "partial 16S ribosomal RNA". It matches the Rfam family "Bacterial small subunit ribosomal RNA", at positions 28 to 507 of the family's 1533-position model. The record is from RNAcentral.